Molecule: long non-coding RNA, 3327 nt
Organism: Cicer arietinum (chickpea)
Lineage: Eukaryota; Viridiplantae; Streptophyta; Magnoliopsida; Fabales; Fabaceae
Source: RefSeq, a predicted model, not a curated record
GCCAUUAUGUGAUUGCUUAUGGGCUUACUUUCUUUUUUUCUCUCUCAUUCUCUUUCAUCUCUCUCUUAUUACUUUUUUCUCUCAAACAAACGUACCCUCAAGAGCGACUAAAAGCAAGAGCAAGGGUGAAACAUAGUGUGUGAUCAUGGGACAGUCAAGGCUAUCCUCUCGUCUCGAGAGACGUAUUUUUAAAAACUAUUUUGAUUUUUGUAGUUUUUAAAAAUAAAAAACUAGAUCAUAUUUUACAUAUUUUGAUUUUUAAUUUUACUUUUUACAUUUAACAAACAUAAACAUAUUUUACAUAUUCUGAGUUGCAAUUGGUUUCGGGCUCAAUUUCUUGCGCUCCGUGUCAUCAGCGUUUAGAUCCUCCAUGAGAGUUUCUUGUGUUUGAUUACGGUUUCUGGAAUUGGGAUCGGAAAAAUUUUGGAUUUGAGGAUUUUCGAGGAUUUCAGAGGAAUGAGGAUCGACGCGGUGAAUUACACCAAUUCUUUUGUUUGCCGUUCCUAACAGCUACAUCAACGUCACGCUUCGUUUCUUGAUUGUUCAAUCACGCUUCGAUUCUUGAUUGUUCAGUCACGCUUGGGUUCUUGAUUGUUCAAUCUUGCAAGAUUUUGUGAUUCUUAUUCAGCGUUGGAUGUUUUAGCCUUCAUAAUAAUUCAAAAUACUUGCAACAAGAAUUCUUCCAACCCAUGUUGAAAAUCCGUGACAAUAUAAAUCUUUAUUGUUAAUGUGAAAUUGGAUGGUAUUCACUGGGCCUUGAUUAGUCAUGGAUUCUGGUUGCAAAUAUAUUUGAGAUGGGAAGCUAUAACAUCGAUAAUCCUGAAUUCAAUUACAAGAUAAAUUGUAUAAAAUUGGGACGGUAUGCUUGACGGGACAUGUCCCUAAAUGCGAUCACUAUAUGGAUUUUGUAUUCAUAAUGGGAAGUAUACAAUGUUCUUGAGAAUUGAUGGACCUUUUUGCGAUAACUAUAUGAAAUGAAUCUUUAUCUUUGAUGAAAAAUAGUAUGGGGUGCCUAGUUCUUUGAUGAGUCGGUGAUUCUAAUUGCAAGUAUUAUAUUUGAGAUGGUAUGGUUGAGCAUUGAUGACCCUAAUUCGAUUGCUCUAUGAAUUAUAUAUCGGAAUGAAAUAUUUAAGCCUUGUGAACGCUAAAUAUAUGAAAAUCGAAGACCAAGAACAAUAUCAUAUUUUCUUUGAGACAACUCAAAAAUUGAAAAUCUAUAUGGAAUGCUUGAAUUGAUUUUAUCAUAGAUAGAAUAUUUAACACUGGAUCCAUAUUGAAAGUUGUCACCAUCACUUCUCGUGUCUGUCGCAAUCUGUGUUCAAAAUUGUCUAUACUAUGUCCAUUGAUAUAGCAGUAACUAUGAGGUGAGAAGGUAGAGCAAUAAUUGUGGGAUAUUGAGCUUUAUAUAAUUCUGCAAAUGAAGAUGGGUUGUUGCCAAUUGAUACUAAGUUUUUUCUCCUAGCUUGAUGAUGCAGAUUUAAGGGUGUGCCUAAUGGUUUUAGGAGAUUGCUGUUUGAUCAUAACCAAUUGCGAACUUUAGAUGUUAACACUGUUACCGCAAUUCCUUAUGAAUGAGAGGAUUCUUAAACACCUUUGCAUGUAUCGGAUAUUUUUUUUCAAGUAUUUUUAUAAUCAUGGAAGCUUUUAUUUUUUCUGAGGUUGCUAUUUUGCUACUUAGUUAACUAUAGUCAGAACAUUUUUGCUUCUACUGAUAGCAAUGCUAUAUACCAAGGGUAAAUACCUUUGCGCUGUGAGAGAGUUAAGUACCCAAUUGUAUGGGUUACAAUUGUUGUGUAAAAUUUAUGGGCUAUUUGUUGUGUGAUUUAACUUCUCUUGAUAUUCCAAUUGCAAAUUGCUAACCUUAAACUUGGACAUUAUUCCAAGUUAAUUGUCUUUUGUUAAUUUUUCUCUGAAUCCUCUGAUACCAUUGGCUUUCAAUCUGGUUUUGAUGUAAAGUUCUUUUUUAAUUUCCUAUCUGAUGAUGGAGAUUUAAGUUUUGAGCUAAACAUUGGCAUUGUCUGUGGGAAUGAUGUCGUUCUCGAUUUAGUCUCUCACAAUUCUGGUGAAUCUUGGAAACAACUUCACUAACUCAGAGGAUCCAAAAAAGAACUCACUUUACUGUGAUCUACAUUUUCUUCAAGAGCUAAAUUUAUAUGCUUAUGCAUUGAUGUUAUCACAUAACGACAAACAUCCUUCUCGUCGUUUAAAGGUCCAUCGUGGUUUAGUGCCAAAACAGCCUCAAGGUCAAUGUUGUUGCUUCAAAAGUUAUGCUCAGUUUAGAAUUCAAUUAGAGUGAGGUGACAUGAUUCACACUCUCAAUGGUUAGAAUGAAUCAUGCGCUGCAAGAUAUGUAACUGUACAUGACUCAUGCUAUAUAAGCCUUGAGUCACUAUCCUUCUAACUAACUCAAUUCAUUUUCAAUACAAUCAUUUUCAGUUAAUAUUUUCUCUCUUCACCUAACAAGCUAUCAACGUGCCAUAGAUGAUUCCACUUUAGAACUCCUUCGCGUGAAAGAGGAUUGUCACCGUCACUCUGAGCUACAAGUUGGUUCCUCCAAAUAUUUUAAGGGAGAUCACCUCUUUCAUGGACAUCGGCACAACAACUCAGAUUCUUUCACCUCUAAAUCAAUGUUGCCGAAACAAACUGGUCCUUACUGGAUAUGUUUCUAUAUGAUGAAACUCUUUUCUGAUUUGUCUCCAAGACGCUAGCCCUGUGACCAAUUCGAGGCUGAUCUGAAGUAAUGUGUUUGAGUGAAUUGCUAUCUGUUACUGUUUCAAUUUUGCAGAUUUGAUAAAACUAUAUCAACACUUCCAAUUAUUCACUGCACUGUCAAAAUGAGAAUUGUUUUGAUGAAGCAACUGAUCUGAAGGACUAAAAAACCUUUGACAUCCAGCUUGAGAAGCUAUGAAGCAUCAUCAAUUCUUGAACGUACCGUUGGACAUAUUGAGAUAAGAAAACAACUCUUGAACAUUAUUAAGCUUUACUAUCAAGCUUGAACAUACUCUUGAACAUACUGUUGGAACAAAUUGGCUUUACUAUCAAGCUGAAAGUGACUGAGCUCGACAAGCGCUUCUAACGCGCCAACCUAGCAUCAUUGUCGGUUCAGGAUCUAGUAAGGCCAUGAUUCUGCCAAGCAAGUAAGUCUCAUAAGAAGGUGUCACACGCCACUUUAAGGAAACUACUUGAUAGCUUGAUCAUCUUUUGGCUUAACUUCCCUUGAAAAAUUUGGAAAAUAUUUGAAGGCACUGUAAAAAAUUAUUUUAUGUUGCACAUAUUUAUAAAACAACCAGCAAAUUAUUGAUUUUAGAGGAAAGCUUCAGUCCAAUU